Molecule: ribosomal RNA, 490 nt
Filed under: uncultured bacterium
Lineage: Bacteria
Description: partial 16S ribosomal RNA
Rfam family: Bacterial small subunit ribosomal RNA
Source: RNAcentral
AGUGAACGCUGGCGGUAGGCCUAACACAUGCAAGUCGAACGGCAGCACAGUAAGAGCUUGCUCUUACGGGUGGCGAGUGGCGGACGGGUGAGGAAUACAUCGGAAUCUACUUUUUCGUGGGGGAUAACGUAGGGAAACUUACGCUAAUACCGCAUACGACCUACGGGUGAAAGCAGGGGAUCUUCGGACCUUGCGCGAUUGAAUGAGCCGAUGUCGGAUUAGCUAGUUGGCGGGGUAAAGGCCCACCAAGGCGACGAUCCGUAGCUGGUCUGAGAGGAUGAUCAGCCACACUGGAACUGAGACACGGUCCAGACUCCUACGGGAGGCAGCAGUGGGGAAUAUUGGACAAUGGGCGCAAGCCUGAUCCAGCUAUACCGCGUGGGUGAAGAAGGCCUUCGGGUUGGAAAGCCCUUUUGUUGGGAAAGAAAAGCAGCAGGUUAAUACCCCGCUGUUCUGACGGUACCCAAAGAAUAAGCACCGGCUAACUUCG